Molecule: ribosomal RNA, 469 nt
Filed under: uncultured soil bacterium
Lineage: Bacteria
Description: bacterial SSU rRNA
Rfam family: Bacterial small subunit ribosomal RNA
Source: RNAcentral
AGGUUGAACGCUGGCGGCAUGCCUUACACAUGCAAGUCGAACGGCAGCACGGGAGCAAUCCUGGUGGCGAGUGGCGAACGGGUGAGUAAUACAUCGGAACGUGCCUAGUAGUGGGGGAUAGCCCGGCGAAAGCCGGAUUAAUACCGCAUACGACCUACGGGUGAAAGCGGGGGAUCGCAAGACCUCGCGCUAUUGGAGCGGCUGAUGUCAGAUUAGGUAGUUGGUAGGGUAAAAGCCUACCAAGCCGACGAUCUGUAGCUGGUCUGAGAGGACGACCAGCCACACUGGGACUGAGACACGGCCCAGACUCCGUACGGGAGGCAGCAGGUGGGGAAUUUUGGACAAGUGGGCGCGAAGCCUGGAUCCAGCCAUGCCGCGUGGACGGGAAGAAGGUCCCGUUCGGGUUACGUAAACCGUCGUUUUAGGUCGUAAGGGAAGAAACCGCACGUUAGACGUACCAACGUUACCC